RNAcentral lists this ribosomal RNA (424 nucleotides) under uncultured bacterium. RNAcentral describes it as "bacterial SSU rRNA". It matches the Rfam family "Bacterial small subunit ribosomal RNA", at positions 355 to 776 of the family's 1533-position model. The record is from RNAcentral.
UAAGGAAUAUUGGUCAAUGGGCGGAAGCCUGAACCAGCCAUGCCGCGUGCAGGAAGAAAGCUCUAUGGGUUGUAAACUGCUUUUGCAAUGGAAUAAACCUGGUUACGUGUAAUCAGCUGAAUGUACAUUGCGAAUAAGGAUCGGCUAACUCCGUGCCAGCAGCCGCGGUAAUACGGAGGAUCCAAGCGUUAUCCGGAUUUAUUGGGUUUAAAGGGUGCGUAGGCGGCUAUAUAAGUCAGAGGUGAAAGACGACAGCUCAACUGUCGCAGUGCCUUUGAUACUGUAUAGCUUGAAUACAGAUGAAGUAGGCGGAAUGUGGCAAGUAGCGGUGAAAUGCAUAGAUAUGCCACAGAACACCAAUUGCGAAGGCAGCUUACUAAACUGAUAUUGACGCUGAGGCACGAAAGCGUGGGGAUCAAACAGG